CCUACGGGGGGCAGCAGUGGGGAAUUUUGCGCAAUGGGGGAAACCCUGACGCAGCAACGCCGCGUGAGUGAUGAAGGCCUUCGGGUCGUAAAGCUCUGUCAGGGGGGAAGAAAUGUAGGGGUGCUAAUAUCGCCUUUACUUGACGGUACCCUCAAAGGAAGCACCGGCUAACUCCGUGCCAGCAGCCGCGGUAAUACGGAGGGUGCGAGCGGGGGUCGGAAUUAUGGGGCCUAAAGCGCGUGUCGGCGGUGAAAGCCCCGGGCUCACCCCGGGAAGUGCAUUGGAAACUGUCAGACUUGAAUACGGGAGAGGGUAGUGGAAUUCCUAGUGUAGGAGUGAAAUCCGUAGAUAUUAGGAGGAACACCGGUGGCGAAGGCGGCUACCUGGACCGAUAUUGACGCUGAGACGCGAAAGCGUGGGGAGCAAACAGGAUUAGAUACCCCAGUAGUC
This 450-nucleotide ribosomal RNA is filed under the name uncultured bacterium. Its description in RNAcentral is "partial 16S ribosomal RNA". It matches the Rfam family "Bacterial small subunit ribosomal RNA", at positions 338 to 795 of the family's 1533-position model. The record is from RNAcentral.